RNAcentral lists this ribosomal RNA (568 nucleotides) under uncultured bacterium. Its description in RNAcentral is "bacterial SSU rRNA". It matches the Rfam family "Bacterial small subunit ribosomal RNA", at positions 88 to 691 of the family's 1533-position model. The record is from RNAcentral.
UACGUCAGCAGCAGACGGGUGAGUAACGCGUGGGAACAUACCUUUUGGUUCGGAACAACACAGGGAAACUUGUGCUAAUACCGGAUAAGCCCUUACGGGGAAAGAUUUAUCGCCGAAAGAUUGGCCCGCGUCUGAUUAGCUAGUUGGUGAGGUAACGGCUCACCAAGGCGACGAUCAGUAGCUGGUCUGAGAGGAUGAUCAGCCACAUUGGGACUGAGACACGGCCCAAACUCCUACGGGAGGCAGCAGUGGGGAAUAUUGGACAAUGGGCGAAAGCCUGAUCCAGCCAUGCCGCGUGAGUGAUGAAGGCCCUAGGGUUGUAAAGCUCUUUUGUGCGGGAAGAUAAUGACGGUACCGCAAGAAUAAGCCCCGGCUAACUUCGUGCCAGCAGCCGCGGUAAUACGAAGGGGGCUAGCGUUGCUCGGAAUCACUGGGCGUAAAGGGUGCGUAGGCGGGUCUUUAAGUCAGGGGUGAAAUCCUGGAGCUCAACUCCAGAACUGCCUUUGAUACUGAGGAUCUUGAGUACGGGAGAGGUGAGUGGAACUGCGAGUGUAGAGGUGAAAUUCGU